CCUACGGGAGACAGCAGUGGGGAAUAUUGGGCAAUGGGCGCAAGCCUGAUCCAGCCACGCCGCGUGUAGGAAGAAGGCUUUCGGGUUGUAAACUUCUUUUAUCAGGGACGAAGCAAGUAACGGUACCUGAUGUAUAAGCCACGGCUAACUACGUGCCAGCAGCCGCGGUAAUACGUAGGGGGCAAGCGUUAUCCGGAUUUACUGGGUGUAAAGGGCGUGUAGGCGGGACAGCAAGUCAGAUGUGAAAGCCAUGGGCUCAACCUGUGGACUGCAUUUGAAACUGGUUUUCUUGAGUACUGGAGAGGCAGACGGAAUUCCUAGUGUAGCGGUGAAAUGCGUAGAGAUGAGGAGGAACACCAGUGGCGAAGGCGGUCUCCUGGACAGCAACUGACGCUGAGGCGCGAAAGCGUGGGGAGCAAACAGGAUUAGAUACCCGUGUAGUC
This 443-nucleotide ribosomal RNA is filed under the name uncultured bacterium. RNAcentral describes it as "partial 16S ribosomal RNA". It matches the Rfam family "Bacterial small subunit ribosomal RNA", at positions 338 to 795 of the family's 1533-position model. The record is from RNAcentral.